This is a non-coding RNA of Habropoda laboriosa, 46 nucleotides long. NCBI's taxonomy places the organism in Eukaryota, Metazoa, Arthropoda, Insecta, Hymenoptera, Apidae. The record is from Rfam.
CAAUCGGCCCUUUUCAGGGCCCCAAUUUUCUUAAACCUAGAACAAU